GUUUACUGCCAUGCUACCCUGAACAAGCCCGAUCCCAUCUGAUCUUGGAAGCUAAGCAGGGUCGGGCCUGGUUAGUACUUGGAUGGGAGACCACCUAGGAAGACUAGGUGCUUUAGGCA
RNAcentral lists this ribosomal RNA (119 nucleotides) under Pteropus alecto (black flying fox). The record is from RNAcentral. Lineage: Eukaryota; Metazoa; Chordata; Mammalia; Chiroptera; Pteropodidae.